ACGCGUGAAACCUUACCAGGGCUUGACAUCCUACUAAUACUGUAGAGAUACGGUAGUGCCUGCUUGCAGGAGAGUAGAGACAGGUGGUGCAUGGUUGUCGUCAGCUCGUGUCGUGAGAUGUUGGGUUAAGUCCCCGCAACGAGCGCAACCCUUGUCAUUAGUUGCUAACGCGUAAUGGUGAGCACUCUAAUGAGACUGCCGGGGACAACUCGGAGGAAGGUGGGGAUGACGUCAAAUCAUCAUGCCCCUU
This 250-nucleotide ribosomal RNA is filed under the name uncultured bacterium. RNAcentral describes it as "partial 16S ribosomal RNA". It matches the Rfam family "Bacterial small subunit ribosomal RNA", at positions 959 to 1203 of the family's 1533-position model. The record is from RNAcentral.